RNAcentral lists this microRNA precursor (201 nucleotides) under Oryza brachyantha (malo sina). Its description in RNAcentral is "MIR812 microRNA precursor family". It matches the Rfam family "MIR812 microRNA precursor family". The record is from Rfam by way of RNAcentral. Lineage: Eukaryota; Viridiplantae; Streptophyta; Magnoliopsida; Poales; Poaceae.
AAUAAGUUUAUUUUUUAGUUUUUGAUAAUGUUUUGACUCUUCGUCUUAUUUGAAAUAUUUUCAAUUAAUAUUUUUAUUGUUACUAGAUGAUAAAAUAUAAAUAAUACUUUAUAUGUGACUAUAUUUUUAAGUUUUUUAUAAAUUUUUCAAAUAAGACAAAUGGUCAAACGUUGGAUACAUAAAUUGAAAAAUGAAGUUACU